Molecule: transfer RNA, 71 nt
Filed under: Thalassoglobus polymorphus
Lineage: Bacteria; Pseudomonadati; Planctomycetota; Planctomycetia; Planctomycetales; Planctomycetaceae
Also listed under: 1 other name
Rfam family: tRNA
About the family: Transfer RNA (tRNA) molecules are approximately 80 nucleotides in length. Their secondary structure includes four short double-helical elements and three loops (D, anti-codon, and T loops).
Source: Rfam by way of RNAcentral
AGCCCGAUGGUGUAACGGUAGCACGAAAGAUUCUGAUUCUUUUAGUCCAGGUUCAAAUCCUGGUCGGGCUA